UACGGAGGGUGCAAGCGUUGUCCGGAUUUAUUGGGUUUAAAGGGUGCGUAGGCGGCCCUGUAAGUCAGUGGUGAAAUACUGCAGCUUAACUGUAGCAUUGCCAUUGAUACUGUAGGGCUUGAGUACAGAUGAGGUAGGCGGAAUUGAUGGUGUAGCGGUGAAAUGCGCAGAUAUCAGGAGGAACACCAAUGGCGAAGGCAGCUCGCUGGGACGGUACUGACGCUGAGACGCGAAAGCGUGGGGAGCAAACAGG
Molecule: ribosomal RNA, 253 nt
Filed under: uncultured bacterium
Lineage: Bacteria
Description: partial 16S ribosomal RNA
Rfam family: Bacterial small subunit ribosomal RNA
Source: RNAcentral